This 433-nucleotide ribosomal RNA is filed under the name Arthrobacter sp. Its description in RNAcentral is "bacterial SSU rRNA". It matches the Rfam family "Bacterial small subunit ribosomal RNA", at positions 829 to 1260 of the family's 1533-position model. The record is from RNAcentral. Lineage: Bacteria; Bacillati; Actinomycetota; Actinomycetes; Micrococcales; Micrococcaceae.
ACAUUCCACGUUUUCCGCGCCGUAGCUAACGCAUUAAGUGCCCCGCCUGGGGAGUACGGCCGCAAGGCUAAAACUCAAAGGAAUUGACGGGGGCCCGCACAAGCGGCGGAGCAUGCGGAUUAAUUCGAUGCAACGCGAAGAACCUUACCAAGGCUUGACAUGGACCGGUAACGCCUGGAAACAGGUGCCCCACUUUGUGGCCGGUUCACAGGUGGUGCAUGGUUGUCGUCAGCUCGUGUCGUGAGAUGUUGGGUUAAGUCCCGCAACGAGCGCAACCCUCGUUCUAUGUUGCCAGCGGUUCGGCCGGGGACUCAUAGGAGACUGCCGGGGUCAACUCGGAGGAAGGUGGGGACGACGUCAAAUCAUCAUGCCCCUUAUGUCUUGGGCUUCACGCAUGCUACAAUGGCCGGUACAAAGGGUUGCGAUACUGUGA